UUGGAGUGUAGUUUAAAUAAAACAUCUAAAUUGCACUUAGAAAAUAAUUUUUUCACUCUG
Molecule: transfer RNA, 60 nt
Filed under: Blastopsylla occidentalis
Lineage: Eukaryota; Metazoa; Arthropoda; Insecta; Hemiptera; Aphalaridae
Description: tRNA-Ala
Source: RNAcentral